This 301-nucleotide ribosomal RNA is filed under the name uncultured bacterium. Its description in RNAcentral is "partial 16S ribosomal RNA". It matches the Rfam family "Bacterial small subunit ribosomal RNA", at positions 509 to 807 of the family's 1533-position model. The record is from RNAcentral.
CAGCAGCCGCGGUAAUACGUAGGGUGCGAGCGUUAAUCGGAAUUACUGGGCGUAAAGCGUGCGCAGGCGGUUGUGUAAGACAGGUGUGAAAUCCCCGGGCUUAACCUGGGAACUGCGCUUGUGACUGCACAGCUAGAGUAUGGCAGAAGGGGGUGGAAUUCCACGUGUAGCAGUGAAAUGCGUAGAGAUGUGGAGGAACACCGAUGGCGAAGGCAGCCCCCUGGGCCAAUACUGACGCUCAUGCACGAAAGCGUGGGGAGCAAACAGGAUUAGAUACCCCGGUAGUCCCUGUCUCUUAUAC